CACACACACACGUGCACACACACACACACUGCAACUCCACACACUGAGGAUCAGUGGCAGCUACAAUAAAAGAGCAAAAAAGCAAAAUCUCAAAAACUUUAUAUUUUUGCACAAAUUAUUAAUAAUCAUUUAAAAAGCCUGAACUUUAACCUAGAAAACACAGACAAAGGGGAAGAAGUGUGUGUGUGUGUGUGUGUGUGUGUGUGUGUGUGUGUGUGUUUCCUGCUGCAGGGUAUAGCUCAUCUGGCCCUCAGUUCUGUGUAAGUGUGUGGUUUUUCUCUGGCACUGAGGGAGGGAGUGAGUGUGUGUGUGUGUGUGUGUGUGUGUGUGUGUUCACAGUUUCAUUUGAAUGAUGUAUAAUUAGUGGUCCUCAUUAGUGAGAAUAAAAAGCCCUAGCGUAGUUUUCAAAUCAAAUGUUAUUUGUGACACACACACACACACACACACACACACACACAGGGUACAACAUGCAGUGAAAUGCUUUUAUACGACGGUCCGUCAUGAGGGAAUGGGAUGGGGAGAAAAAUAAACCAAGGAAAAGAAGGCAGAUAAAUAAAGAGUAUAAACUAUAUAAUAUAUAUAUAUAUAUAUAUAUAUAUAUGAGAAAAAAGUGUAUAUACAACGUAUGCUUAUGACAGUAAAACAGUAGAAAUUGAAGGUGGUUUUCAUCAGAAGAGGGUCACAUGACCGCCGGAUAAACACACACGUUGUCUGGAGUGUGUGAAAUGACAUGAUGAACAACAUGAUAAAGAACAGAUGAAGACACGAUGCUGUUGAAGCUUUUCUUCAGGGUUUUGGGUAUGAAAUGGUGUCCGACUGUAAACGUCACACACACACACACACACACACACACACACACACACACACACACACACACAGGAUCCAGGAUCAGUGUGUGAGUCUGUAGAAGACUGAACUGAUUAGUCAGGGAUUCAGGAAGUGUAAAGGAUCUGCAUUAGAAAACUGUUAUUGUGUACAAGUUUUUAAUCAUUAAUUUUACAAGUAAAAGUACUUUUAUUAGAUACAACAAAUUAAUCAUCUGUACAUCAUCCGAUUUAUUAUUAGUUUUGUUAUGAAAUAAAAGAAAAACAAGCUGUUACAUGUUCGUGUUCCUGGAGGGAUGUUUGAGUCCUCAGCGCCCCCUGCUGGCUCGCUCGUGUCUACUGUACUGUUACAUAUUAGUGUAUAUAAGCAACAGGUUGAGUUUAUGUAUAAUUAUUGAUUAUUGAUUGCAGGUAUAUUGAGUAGGUGUUUAUUGAUUAUUGAUUGCAGGUAUAUUGAGUAGGUGUUUAUUGAUUAUUGAUUGCAGGUAUAUUGGUAGGUGUUUAUUGAUUAUUGAUUACAGGUAUAUUGAGUAGGUGUCUAUUGAUUAUUGAUUGCAGGUAUAUUGAGUAGGUGUUUAUUGAUUAUUGCAGGUAUAUUGAGUAGGUGAUUAUUGAUUGCAGGUAUAUUGAGUAGGUGUUUAUUGAUUAUUGAUUGCAGGUAUAUUGAGUAGGUGUUUAUUGAUUAUUGAUUGCAGGUAUAUUGAGUAGGUGUUUAUUGAUUAUUGAUUGCAGGUAUAUUGAGUAGGUGUUUAUUGAUUGCAGGUAUAUUGAGUA
This is a long non-coding RNA of Silurus meridionalis, 1598 nucleotides long. RefSeq lists it as uncharacterized. The transcript is spliced from 4 exons. NCBI's taxonomy places the organism in Eukaryota, Metazoa, Chordata, Actinopteri, Siluriformes, Siluridae. The record is from RefSeq and is a predicted model, not a curated record.